CAGGACGAACGCUGGCGGCGUGCUUAACACAUGCAAGUCGAGCGAUGAAGCUUCUUCGGAAGUGGAUUAGCGGCGGACGGGUGAGUAACACGUGGGUAACCUGCCUCAUAGAGGGGAAUAGCCUUCCGAAAGGAAGAUUAAUACCGCAUAAGAUUGUAAUAUUGCAUGAUAUAGCAAUUAAAGGAGUAAUCCGCUAUGAGAUGGACCCGCGUCGCAUUAGCUAGUUGGUGAGGUAACGGCUCACCAAGGCGACGAUGCGUAGCCGACCUGAGAGGGUGAUCGGCCACAUUGGGACUGAGACACGGCCCAGACUCCUACGGGAGGCAGCAGUGGGGAAUAUUGCACAAUGGGGGAAACCCUGAUGCAGCCAACGCCGCGUGAGUGAUGACGGUCUUCGGAUUGUAAAGCUCUGUCUUCAGGGACGAUAAUGACGGUACCUGAGGAGGAAGCCACGGCUAACUACGUGCCAGCAGCCGC
RNAcentral lists this ribosomal RNA (477 nucleotides) under uncultured bacterium. RNAcentral's name for it is "bacterial SSU rRNA". It matches the Rfam family "Bacterial small subunit ribosomal RNA", at positions 25 to 518 of the family's 1533-position model. The record is from RNAcentral.